This 673-nucleotide long non-coding RNA is filed under the name Anas platyrhynchos platyrhynchos (common mallard). RNAcentral describes it as "lncRNA (ENSAPLG00000024307.1)". Lineage: Eukaryota; Metazoa; Chordata; Aves; Anseriformes; Anatidae. The record is from RNAcentral.
AGCAGCACAGCGUGCGCCCUUGCAUAGUAACAGGCUAUGUUCUGUGAUUUCGUCUUUCCACCAGAACAAAGCAUUUGUCUCAUCAUUCAUUGAUGUCAUUGUGAGAUACUGGUAAACCAUUUUAACCUUUGGACCUUGUUGCAACUAAAGGACCAGCUACUAGAGUCUUAGGCUGAAAAGACAGAUUUUCAAAGAGGCUGGAAAUAUCUGCUCAUGACUUCUGGCUUUCUUGGGAAGAACCAAAGAAUGAAUGAACUCUGGAAGACAUAGGGACAAUCUCUGUGACAGCCCUGUAUGGUGUUGAGUGACAGGGUUCAGCUUAGAAAGCUAAGCAUCCUGCUGCGUGGACACAAGGAGAUGCCUUCAUCAUUUACUGACAUGAAAUCACAGGGCUCUGUGAUGGUGUGCCUACUGGGAGCUGAGGCAAGCAUUGAAGGUGCUCUGUGGAGCUGCAGCUGGGCACCCAGAAGCUGCUCCAGUCUGUGGCUUGGAGAGGAACUGGCAGUGACGCUUUACAGAAGGUAUCAAUAUCAUCUACCAUCAUCAGAGAUUAAGUUGUAUUAUCUAGGGAAAAGUGUAAACCACAAUUCAUUAUGUUCUAAGAUAAAGAACUGGAAGAUGUUGAAUAGAGGAAUUUGAGAAAAACCCAAGACAGAUGUUGAGAGUGUAGGCA